Molecule: non-coding RNA, 942 nt
Organism: Chelonoidis abingdonii (Abingdon island giant tortoise)
Lineage: Eukaryota; Metazoa; Chordata; Testudines; Testudinidae
Source: RefSeq, a predicted model, not a curated record
GGGCCACUGUCGCGCCUGUCCUGGGGGUGGGGCUCGGGCUCGGGUUUGUGGCAGGAGCCGACUGGCUGCUCCUAUGGGCGAAGAGGCGAUUCCUAGGGAGAAGGCUGGCGGCUUGGGGGAAGGCGGGUGGGGGCUGCGCCCUGGGGGAUCUCCUGUCCCUGGGUAGGCAACGGGCUUGCUUCAGCCAACGUCAGGGACAGCUCACGCAUCUUCCCAGUUGACCAUGGGGGCUCUGUGCAGCAAAUGGUCUCCCACUUGGAGCACACCUGAAUUGUUGGAUCCUGCUGGCACUAUGGGGAGAGAUGCCUGUGCAGUCACAGUCCCAGCUCUGCUUGAGCUGUAGGAACUUCAAUACCUAUGGUCAGAUUUCUCAUGGCUUAUUGGAUAAGAGUUACAAAUGGAACAUGCAUCAGUGCUGUGGACGUGUGAAGCUUUUCUUUCCAUACAAAACUUAAAUGGGGUGGCCUAAGCUGCCUGACCAACUGAUCUAGGAUGACCAGACAGCAAGUAUGAAAAAUCAGGACAGGGGGUGGAGGGCAAUAGGAGCCUAUAUAAGAGAGACCCAAAAAUCAGGACUGUCCCUAUAAAAUCAGGGCAUCUGGUCACCCUAAACUGAUCUAACUCUGCAAGGCUUUUCUAUAGUUAGGCUGGCAGAGAUCACAUCUUUAUUGGUAAAUGUCAGUUUCACCAUCCACACACAAUGACAGAAUUGCUAAUUGAAAUGUAAAGAGGCAAUGUAAGAAAAAUCCUGCUUGAGAACUUUAGAGUUUGAUUUAAGGAUAAAUACUUUGUAUAUUUUGGCAUGUGAUGUCGAGAAUUUGUGUUUUAAUGGUUAUAAAGACUUUACUUUUUGAAUCUCAAUGCCUACUACCAUUAAAUAAUAUCUGAUGCCCCCCAUUUCCUUCAAUUAUGAAAAUUUCAAUAAAAAAUGCUUUAACAUUA